UACGUAGGGUGCAAGCGUUGUCCGGAAUUAUUGGGCGUAAAGAGCUCGUAGGCGGUCUGUCACGUCGGCUGUGAAAACCCGAGGCUCAACCUCGGGCCUGCAGUCGAUACGGGCAAACUAGAGUACUGCAGGGGAGACUGGAAUUCCUGGUGUAGCGGUGAAAUGCGCAGAUAUCAGGAGGAACACCGGUGGCGAAGGCGGGUCUCUGGGCAGUAACUGACGCUGAGGAGCGAAAGCGUGGGGAGCGAACGGG
Molecule: ribosomal RNA, 253 nt
Filed under: uncultured bacterium
Lineage: Bacteria
Description: partial 16S ribosomal RNA
Rfam family: Bacterial small subunit ribosomal RNA
Source: RNAcentral